This 532-nucleotide ribosomal RNA is filed under the name uncultured bacterium. RNAcentral's name for it is "bacterial SSU rRNA". It matches the Rfam family "Bacterial small subunit ribosomal RNA", at positions 772 to 1304 of the family's 1533-position model. The record is from RNAcentral.
ACUGAAUAGAUACCCUGGUAGUCCACGCCCUAAACGAUGUCGACUAGGUGUUCGGUGAGGAGACUCAUUGAGUACCGCAGCUAACGCGUGAAGUCGACCGCCUGGGGAGUACGGUCGCAAGAUUAAAACUCAAAGGAAUUGACGGGGACCCGCACAAGCGGUGGAUGAUGUGGAUUAAUUCGAUGCAACGCGAAAAACCCUUACCUACCCUUGACAUGUACGGAACCCUGCUGAGAGGUGGGGUGCUCGAAAGAGAGCCGUAACACAGGUGCUGCAUGGCUGUCGUCAGCUCGUGUCGUGAGAUGUUGGGUUAAGUCCCGCAACGAGCGCAACCCUUGUCAUUAGUUGCUACGCAAGAGCACUCUAAUGAGACUGCCGGUGACAACCGGAGGAAGGUGGGGAUGACGUCAAGUCCUCAUGGCCCUUAUGGGUAGGGCGUUCACACGUCAUACAAUGGUCGGUUACAGAGGGUUUGCCAAGCCGCGAGGUUGGAGCCAAUCCCGAGAAAGCCGAUCGUAGUCCGGAUCGCAGU